Molecule: ribosomal RNA, 901 nt
Filed under: uncultured bacterium
Lineage: Bacteria
Description: bacterial SSU rRNA
Rfam family: Bacterial small subunit ribosomal RNA
Source: RNAcentral
ACGCUAGCUACAGGCUUACACAUGCAAGUCGAGGGGAAACGGCAUUAAGUGCUUGCACUUUUUGGACGUCGACCGGCGCACGGGUGAGUAACGCGUAUCCAACCUUCCCAUGACUAAGGGAUAACCUGCCGAAAGGCAGACUAAUACCUUAUGGUCUUCACUGACGGCAUCAGAUGUGAAGUAAAGAUUUAUCGGUUAUGGAUGGGGAUGCGUCUGAUUAGUUAGUUGGCGGGGUAACGGCCCACCAAGGCAACGAUCAGUAGGGGUUCUGAGAGGAAGGUCCCCCACAUUGGAACUGAGACACGGUCCAAACUCCUACGGGAGGCAGCAGUGAGGAAUAUUGGUCAAUGGGCGAGAGCCUGAACCAGCCAAGUAGCGUGCAGGACGACGGCCCUAUGGGUUGUAAACUGCUUUUGUAUGGGGAUAAAGUCAAUCACGUGUGAUUGUUUGCAGGUACCAUACGAAUAAGGACCGGCUAAUUCUGUGCCAGCAGCCGCGGUAAUACGGAAGGUCCGGGCGUUAUCCGGAUUUAUUGGGUUUAAAGGGAGCGUAGGCUGGAGAUUAAGUGUGUUGUGAAAUGUAGACGCUCAACGUCUGACUUGCAGCGCAUACUGGUUUCCUUGAGUACGCACAACGUUGGCGGAAUUCGUCGUGUAGCGGUGAAAUGCUUAGAUAUGACGAAGAACUCCGAUUGCGAAGGCAGCUGACGGGAGCGCAACUGACGCUGAAGCUCGAAGGUGCGGGUAUCGAACAGGAUUAGAUACCCUGGUAGUCCGCACAGUAAACGAUGGAUGCCCGCUGUUGGUACCUGGUAUCAGCGGCUAAGCGAAAGCAUUAAGCAUCCCACCUGGGGAGUACGCCGGCAACGGUGAAACUCAAAGGAAUUGACGGGGGCCCGCAC